CCUUUUCUAGACUCCUCCCCCUCGCUUCCUAGCAGGCCUGUAGACCAGUCACUGCUGAUUACUUAAAUAGCGGCCUCCCUCGUGCCACGUCUCCCUUCACCUCGUGGGCUAUGCGGUCUACUGACCGCUCAGUCGGCCACCGUCGUCUGUCGGUUUCGAGCCGCUCAUCGUCUGCUGCCCUUAACCUGUUGUCUGCCGCCUGAGCUUGUCGUCUGCUGUCCGGGUUGCCAUCGACCGCUUUUCGGCUUUCCCGGCAGCCAUGGGUUGGCCGUCCCACUCGAGUUGGAAGUGGGAUCCUGACACUUGAGCGCUGUCGGUGGUGCCAGAUCUAACUCUUCCAGCUCAGCUCGAGCUCAAGUGGUCGGCCAUACAACAAAAGGAAGACGUUCCAUCAAGGGAGAAAUCGACUACAGUGUUCGACUCAAGCUGCACUCCCCAUGAAAAAAAGUGUGACAUUGUGAUAUCGGCUAGAUGAAUGCCGAUCUUGAACUUGGCGGAAACAAUGCGAACUUGUAAACAUGACUCCAUUGGUUGCCCCCCACCCCCCCCCCCAAAAAAAAAAACUGCUAAAAGCAUUGUGCAAGCUGGCAUUGAACACAGACGGUCCGUCGAUUGCGCAGUAUCGAUAAGUGAGCCAGAGGUGCGCUUAUUGUCACAAGAGGCGCCUGGCGCAGUGUCAAGAAAUGGCUGCGCAAUUUCUCGGCAUGGCGUUUUUCAUUCGUCUCGUGCUCGGACGAAAUAGUUUGUCUCAAAGACACUGUUGCAGUAGCAGUUGGUUUUGAUUUUGAGAAAUAACUAGAAACUGGUUACGGAGGUAGGUACAUGUUCUUUCAUGAACUUUGGAUCUGUAACGAGAGGAGGCACCAUUGAAAGGAGCGCAAAAUGUUGCUGUGGAAAUAAAAUGGAACUGAUGGGA
Molecule: long non-coding RNA, 916 nt
Organism: Ixodes scapularis (black-legged tick)
Lineage: Eukaryota; Metazoa; Arthropoda; Arachnida; Ixodida; Ixodidae
Exons: 2
Source: RefSeq, a predicted model, not a curated record